ACGAACGCUGGCGGCGUGCUUAACACAUGCAAGUCGCACGGAAAGGCCUAGCUUGCUGGGUACUCGAGUGGCGAACGGGUGAGUAACACGUGGGUGAUCUGCCCCUGACUUUGGGAUAAGCCUGGGAAACUGGGUCUAAUACCGGAUAUUCAUUUUUCCUCGCAUGGGGAUUUGUGGAAAGCUUUUGCGGUUGGGGAUGGGCCCGCGGCCUAUCAGCUUGUUGGUGGGGUAAUGGCCUACCAAGGCGACGACGGGUAGCCGACCUGAGAGGGUGAUCGGCCACACUGGGACUGAGACACGGCCCAGACUCCUACGGGAGGCAGCAGUGGGGAAUAUUGCACAAUGGGCGCAAGCCUGAUGCAGCGACGCCGCGUGAGGGAUGACGGCCUUCGGGUUGUAAACCUCUUUCAGCUCCGACGAAGCGCAAGUGACGGUAGGAGCAGAAGAAGCACCGGCCAACUACGUG
This 466-nucleotide ribosomal RNA is filed under the name uncultured bacterium. RNAcentral's name for it is "partial 16S ribosomal RNA". It matches the Rfam family "Bacterial small subunit ribosomal RNA", at positions 29 to 507 of the family's 1533-position model. The record is from RNAcentral.